RNAcentral lists this unclassified non-coding RNA (244 nucleotides) under plant metagenome. RNAcentral describes it as "partial contains small subunit ribosomal RNA, internal transcribed spacer 1, and 5.8S ribosomal RNA". The record is from RNAcentral.
UCUCCGUUGGUGAACCAGCGGAGGGAUCAUUACCAGAGUUUUACAACUCCCAACCCUUCUGUGAACCUACCUAUCGUUGCUUCGGCGGACUCGCCCCAGCGUCCGGACGGUCCCGCGCCGGCCCGCGACCUGGACCCAGGCGGCCGCCGGAGACCACACGAUCCUGUAUCCAUCAGUCUCUCUGAAUCCGCCGCAAGGCAAAACAAACAAAUCCAAACUUUCAACAACGGAUCUCUUGGUUCUG